GACGAACGCUGGCGGCGUGCUUAACACAUGCAAGUCGAACGGAGCGAAUGAAAGCUUGCUUUUAUGAGCUUAGUGGCAAACGGGUGAGUAACACGUAGACAACCUGCCGACAGGAUGGGGACAACAUUCCGAAAGGAAUGCUAAUACCGAAUGAAGCGGAGGAGAGGCAUCUCUUUUCCGUGAAAGAUGGCCUCUAUUUAUAAGCUAUCACCUGUUGAUGGGUCUGCGUCUGAUUAGCUGGUAGGUGAGGUAACGGCUCACCUAGGCGACGAUCAGUAGCCGGUCUGAGAGGAUGAACGGCCACAUUGGGACUGAGACACGGCCCAGACUCCUACGGGAGGCAGCAGUGGGGAAUCUUCCGCAAUGGGCGCAAGCCUGACGGAGCAACGCCGCGUGAGUGAAGAAGGUCUUCGGAUCGUAAAGCUCUGUUGACGGGGACGAACG
Molecule: ribosomal RNA, 444 nt
Filed under: Centipeda flueggei
Lineage: Bacteria; Bacillati; Bacillota; Negativicutes; Selenomonadales; Selenomonadaceae
Description: bacterial SSU rRNA
Rfam family: Bacterial small subunit ribosomal RNA
Source: RNAcentral